CUCGUCCUUUUCCUAUAACACCAGGCACAACAAAUGUAUACAUAGUAUUCUUUCCAGUUGAUCCGACCUCAUUUUCAACCUUUAAUCGUUUCAUGUUGAACCUAUAAAAAAAACAAAUAAGAAAAAAAGAAUAUGAAAAAAAUGUGGGAUGAUAUAGUAAUACAUUAAAUCAUCAUGCUUGUCAUAAGAAUGUCUAACAAUAUAAUUAUUAUUUUAGAUAACCAAAACAUUACCUCAUUAGUUCUUUUUCAUUUUUUUGUACCGGACUUCCUAGCUCUACAACAUCAUCAUCCACUUUUUCCAAUGUCUCAUAGGAAUCACAAGGUUGAGUCUUCCUCACUACUUUCCAACCUUUCUUAGAAUUAUCAUUGACAUAAAAAACUUGAGAUGCUUGGUUCGCUAAAACAAAUGACUCAUUUGUUUUCAAAAAUCUACCCGGAUUGAACUCACGAAGUCAUACUCAUCUUUUUUUACUCCAUUUAUUUCAUCAUGCACAUCAAACCACUUGUAUCAAAAUAAGGUCACUCUCCUAUCCGGUACAAAUUACAACUCAAUAACCUCUGUUAAAACUCUAUAGUAAUCAACAUUAUCACCAGGAGUACCAUUAUCGCCAACUACAACAACAUCAUAAUUCUGAGUUCUUAACUUUUUAUCAUAAUCUUCUACAUGAAAUCUAUAUCUAUUAAUAAUAUAACCAUUACAAUGUGUCGAAUAUUUGGUAGGACCGCAUGAAAGUGAAAGUAGAUCUUCCAUGAUAUAACUAUCAUCUCAAUUAUGACAUUGUGCGACCUAUGAAUAAAAUUACACUGAAUACUUUAGAAUGACUAAUAUAAUAUUAAAAUAGUAAAUUUGAUUGUUAUAUAUUUCUUACCUUAUCUUUAUCCAUUUAAUAAAUUAUCGGUUCCAUUCUGCAUCAGACAAGUGUCGAAUAGUAUCCUUAUGAGUUUGUGCAAAUUCUCUACAAAAUUAAAGUGAAUCAUAAAUUUCAUAUCGAAAGGAAAUUGCCAUGAAGGAAUAAUAAAAAUGAGACUACAUGAGUUCUUCCCAUACUUGAGAUACGGUAAGACUUCAUCACAAUUCUUCAAUAUGUAGAUAUAUGCUUGUUCCAAUUCAUCGGCCUCAAUCCCACAUGGAUCUUUAGCUCCUAAAAUUUUUCUAGGUUGAUAAAAUAUAGAUAAACCUCCAUCAGAUUCUUUUAAACCCCCAUCAUAAUUUAUUUUAAGCCGACUGAAUUUUGUGUUAAUUCUAAGCAAGUACCUUGAACACAAGGUCAUACACUCAUUUGCAAUGUAUCCAUCUGCAAUAGAACCUUCAGGGCAUGCCCUAUUACCAAUGAGAGAUUUCAAAAAAUACAACCAUCGUUCCACAGGAUACAUCCACCUAUAAUGAAUAGGCUUAGCAAUCUUAGCUUCAGUAGCUAAAUGAAUAGACAAGUGCACCAUGGCAUCAAAAAAUAAAGGAGGAAAGGCCUUUUCUAACUUGCAAAGUGUUAGGAAUUUGCACUUCAAUAUGUUCCAAAUCAUCAGUUCUCAACUCCUUGGAUCAAAGCACACUACAAAAAUAAGAUAACUUGAUAAGUGGUUCAACACUUCUUUAGACAACAUACCACGAAGUGCAAGAGAGAUUAAAUAUUGUAGAAGAACACAACAAUCAUGACUUUUCAACCCAGAUAUCUUGUGAUCUUUUAAGUUCACACAUUGAGAAAUAUUAUAUGAAAAACCAUUAGGCAAUUUAAGAUUCUUUAAGAAAAUACAAAAUUGGUUCUUAUCUUCAGGAGGCAAUGUGUAGCAUGUAGUUGAAACUUCAACUUUCUCCCCCUUUUAGAUGAGGUGCAAUUCUGGCCUAAUGUUCAUCUCUUACAAGUCUAAUCGAUUGUUAAUUAUAUCCUUGGUAUUUUCUUUGACAUUCAUAAAUAUCCCCAUAAAAUUCUCACAUAUAUUUUUUUCAAUAUGCAUAACAUCCAAAUUAUGUCGCAAUAAGAGAUACCCCCAAUAUGAAAGUUUAAAAAAGAUACUUUUCUUGUUCCAGUUAAACUUUUGAACUUUAUGUGAUAUCUUCUUCCUUUUAUUUAGAUCUCUUGAUAAUUGUUGCCCUUCAAGAUCUUGUACUUGAUUAAGUAUCUCUUUACCAGAAUGAUUUCUUAGUAGUGGCCUUUUCUAUUCUGUACCAUCAAAGGACUGCUUCUCAUGUCUCCAUUUGCGACUAAGAGAAAGGUAAUGCUGAUGACCCAUAAAACACUGCUUCUUACUGUUAGCCAAUCGAAUUGAGGAAGUGCCUUUGUUGCAACACGGACAUGCCAAUUUUCCUUUGGCACUCCAUUCAGAUAAAUUUCCAUAUGUUGGAAAGUCAUUGAUGGUCCAUAAUAAAGAUGUAUGCAACAUAGAAUUUUGUUUAGUUGAUGCGUCAUAGGUCUUAACACCUAUUCCCCAUAACUCAUUCGAUUCUUCUAUCAAAGGCUGGAGAUAUACAUCAAUUGCAUCUCCUGGAAUAUUUGGACUAGGAAUAAGCAUUGACAAAAUAAAUUUUUCUUGUUUCAUACACAACCAUGGUGGUAAAUUAUAAGGAAUAUGAACCACAUGCGAAAUGCUAUGUGAGGUUUUUGAAUUUAGAACUGGCUGAAAUCCAUCACUAGCAAGUCCAAGUCUUACAUUGCGGGGCUUGACAGCAAAUGAAGGAUAAUGUUCAUCAAGUGACUUCCAUGCCAUUGAAUCAGAUGAGUGCUUCAUUAUGCCAUCGUCAACUCUUUUAUCCUUAUGCCAUGUCAUUAGAGCAGAUGUCUUUGAAGACAUAAACAACCUCUGAAGUCUAGGCUUUUAAGGAAAAAUAACAUAAACUCUGUUGCUAUCUUUUUACCUUUCUUGUUCCUUAUUUCUCCGCUAUGGUUGUCUAUUUUCCAUCUAGACACACCACAAACUUUACGAGAAUCGAGUGAGUUAUCUUCCUUCCAGUAUAACAUGCAAUCAUUAGUGCAAAUAUCUAUCUUCUUGUAAAAAAGCCCGAGUUCUCAAAUUAUUUUCUUUGCCUCAUAAUAUGAGUUUGAUAAAUCGGCACCAUCAGGCAACAACUCAUCUUUCAACGUUUUCAAUAACAUUGUAAAUGAUGCAUUACUCCAGCAUCCCAUACUUUUGAUGUGAAGCAAUUCAGUCAAAGUAGAAACCUUUGACGCUUUUGAAUUUUGAUGCAGUGGCUGCUCAAAACCAUUCAAUAGUUUGUAAAAUUGUUCUGCUAUAAUAUUUGUCUCCUCCUCAACAUACACAAUUAGUGUAUGUAGGUCCACCAUCAUGAUUAGGAUACAAAUCUCUCAAUAAUUCUUCUACUUCAUCUUUACUCUCACAUUCUUCCACUUUAUCAUUAUAUUCAUCAUCAAAUUUGAAUUCAGAUAACGGUUCACCCAAGCGUUCUCAAUGGUGAAACCAGAAAGUAUAAUUCUGAACUAUUCCAUGUACUUUUAAAUGUGUCUCAAUUGUUGUACGAGUUUCCAAAGUAGUAUUGCAACAUUUGUUACAUGGACAUCGCAUUUCAUAUUUUUUUCCUAUUUUUCAAAAAGUAUAAUUCAAAAACUUUUUCACUUGCAUCCAUUGCUUACUAGGUGCCACAACCUUGUAAAAUAUAAAAAACAUUAAAUUGAGAAAAAUUAAAUGAUAAAAAAAUUUUGUAGUGUAGAGUCUGCAUGAUUUGGACCAGAUUUGAACUUAACCACAGUUGUAUAGACUAUACAGGGAUCAUGUGAUAAGUUAUUAUGGGCAGCACCCCUUUAAUCAGAGGGGAGCUCAAGCCUCGACCAAAGAAGUUAUGGUCAUUAACACUAUACAUUUCAGAAAAACAACCUCUCAAUUGGGAUCAACUUAUCACAACCACUAUACAAAAUUAGUUGCAGAUAACAACACAUUUAAUGAGAACUACAAAGUUCUGCUUUUUCUUCCCACACCAUUUCUGAGAAAUAAGCACCAUCUACUUUGCCGAGAGAGUCCCCUGUCCAUCCAUAUUUCCACAUGGAACAAAUAAUCCUUAACAAAAUGUCGCUUCCAGUUUAGAUUAAGGUAGUUUUAUGUUACUUUAUAUAUCUUAUAUGAAAUAUACUAGCUAAUAUAUUUUUUUUCAGAUUUGAACUUAACCACAGUUGUAUAGACUAUACAGGGAUCAUGUGAUAAGUUAUUAUGGGCAGCACCCCUUUAAUCGGAGGGGAGAUCAAUCCUCGACCAAGGAAGUUAUGGUCAUCAACACUAUACAUUUUAGAGAUAAAACCUCUCCACUGGGAUCAACUUAUCACAACCACUAUACAAAAUAAGUUGCAGGUAACAACACAUUUAAAGAGAACUAUAAAGUUCUGCUUUUUCUUCCCACACCAUUUCUUGUGAUAAAGUAGGAUAGUGGAGAGGAACACAGUUGGCGGUUCAAUAAAAAGAAAGUGCCGCUAACAAAUGAAACCUCAACCAAUAAACUACCAACAGCUCUAACAGGGAAAUUGAAAUGGAAAUCUAUAAUACAAAUAGAGUGUGCCUUAAUAGGGUCAAUUAAGAGUUUCCAAAUUAGGUAUAAAUGUGUAAGUUCAAAUUCAUUGGUGGACUAGUUCGUGGUUAGUCCAAAGAGUAUCUGCAAAAUUUUGGACAAAAGAAGCACAAAUAAAUAAUACAUUCCUCAACAUUAUAGAAAACUCUGUUGCCCAGAAUUUUGCUUUCACCGUGUUAAAAAAAGCAAAAUUUGAGUGAGAAUUAAGUGUUUUCUUCAGUUUGUGAUGGCCCUAACUGCAUAUGUAUUAAUAGUUCAUUCUAAUUCUAAAGUUUCCUGUUUCACUAAAUUUUUCUCCCUGGAUUUAGUCACCGACUUAAACUUCAAAAGAAUACACUAUAUUUAUAGCCAAUAACAUUAACAAUCUCAAAAACCGAAUCCCAUAAGAUGAAAUCUUCAAAUCAUUUUUGAAAGUGUGGACUACUUCUAGGCUAGAAACAAUACAUCGUUGACUAAUAUAUGCGCCUUUUGACAAGGCAAAAAUUGUACCGCAUAAAUUUCUACUAAAGAGUGAGCAGAGUAUGGAUCAUAUGCAGUUGCACCUAGAGACAGAUCCAAGAUUUAAACUUAAAAGGUUCAUUGUUAAGAUUCUUAUCAUCGCAGCCAUUAUAUUUUUAAAGUUAUGGGUUCAUAUCUACUUUUUACUUACACAUAAAUCUAUGCUCCGUGUUGAAAGUCAUGGGUUCAAUUUAACCCAUAUCAAUAAUUUUAGAUAUGCCUAUGAUUUCAUCCAAUUAUUUUUUCCUGAUUCGGUGUUUAAAUUGCGACCAGUAGCACCAAAUCAUCCAAGUAGGCCAAAAACAAACUGUACAAAUUCCUAAUAAUGACGGAUGAAAGUAUGGCUCAUCUACCAUUGCAUCUGAUUACUAUUUCUAUCUACCUCGGUGUUUAAAUCGUGAUCAUUAGCAUAAAUCUUUUAACAAGUUCAAAAAUGUACUACAUCCGAACUGCAGUAUGAACUACUGGACAUAUACUCUUAAAAAAUAAUAUACGCAAAAACAUAUCAACCCAAUCCCCAGGCCUUCACUCUAUCUACUUUGCCGAGAGAGUCCCCUGUCCAUCCAUCUUUCCAUAGGGAACGAAUAAUCCUUAACAAAAUGUAGCUUCCAGUUUAGAUUAAGGUAGUUUUAUGUUACUUUAUAUAUCUUAUAUGAAAUAUACUAGCCAAACAUGUACACCAAUCAUCAUAUCUAGCUGGAACAUCUUGUUAUGUUUUCAAGUAGAAGUUCAGGAUUAGUUAUAAUAUAUAGUAACUCUAAAGUCUUUAAUGUGAAUACUAACACAUAUAGUUGUCUUUAAAGUACAAAUAAGGGGGAAAAGCAAAAGAAGAAAGUCGAACUAGGAUUGCAGAAUCUAAUCCCAGAAUUUUAUGUUUUUAUAUUCUGAAUUAUCAAACAAGGCAUCUUAGUAGGUUCGAUAAAUUAUGGAUACAUAUGAUGAGAUUUUCUCAACACAAACACAUAAAUUUGACCAAAACUAUUGAGCUCUACUACACUCGUAGCUAAAACUCUUAACUCUAGCCCCCAUCUACACAUAAUAAUAUCAUUCUCUUUUGAUGUAUUGUUAAUAUUGGUUCAGAAUCAAGAAACAUGAGAGAAAAGGACUGCUUUUCAUAGUUCUACUGCUUUUACUGGCCUCAAGAAGUCAUCAGUCUAUACUAUCGAGACAGCGCUGAAAAAAAAAACAUAAACUAAUUGGAUGAUGUGUGAGUUUCAACUUCCUGCUAAAAAUGACAAAUCCACUAAACAUAUUCAAGCUAAAAGCAUUGCUCAAGAAGCUGUACGUAUAUUAAUCCAUUGAGUCUUACAUGUUUAGCUCGCGCAAAAAAAAGAAUCAUGCCUGCUCUAAUGUCGUAUUGUAUUAUACCGUAUAACCACUAUAGUUUUAGUUAUAUUAUGUCAUACACAAAUCUGAAUUUAGAUUUAAAGCUAUUAUUCUGAUGAAAUUUUUGGUGUUUUGUAGGAAGUUUGGACUCUCUGCAGAAUCUUUAAGUGAAACGAUUUAUAAAAGAAGUGACUGCCGGCAGAAUGUUUGGUGUUUUGUAGGAAAUUUGGACUCUCCGGAGAAUCUUUAAGAGAAACGGUUUAUAAAAGAAGUGCCUACUGUAGACACCUAAUUUUGUCCCUCCUGAAGUUGAAUUUUAUUUUUUUAGCUCAUCUUACCACGUACCCAUACCUAUUCUAUAUUUUUUCCACAAGAAAACAAAUACAACAAAUCCUAACAAAUUAAAUCUUCAAUCCCCAAAUAUUACCUUAUCUUAACAAACUUUAUCCUAACCGCCUACCCCUAUCCCACCUCACCCCUAUCCAACCACCUAAUCCAUACCCUACUCCCUACCCCUUUACCCAUUUUUUACACCAUAACAGAAAGGGGAAUAAGGGACACAUCACAAUAACUUGGAGAGGGGCCCACCACUAACAAAAUUGAUCCACCAUCAUCAUACAUAGAUACAUAGCCACCUCCAUUUUUAGAGGGACACAAGAAUACACGCACAGAACAUAGAGCACAAUUCACGCAUAGACCAUCUUUUCAUACACCAUCGGAUUUAUCACAGCAACACACACCAAGAAUACCCUCAUAUACUUAUCUCACCCGCACACACCAUGGGAUAGAAUCCUUAAUAUCACUCUCACGAUCACACACACUCACCGAAAAAACACACUCUCUCACCGAAAAACACACUCGCUCAUUAGAAAACUCUAUCAAUUUAUAGCAUAGUUCACUCACCUCACUAUGCACAUACUGAACCGAAGGAGAAAGAGAUUGGGGAGGUAAACGGAGAAGGGUUAACGAUAUAAUUCGGCGUCUUGACUAUUUUUCGACAAACCUUCUCACCAAAAUUGGUUUACAGGUGGUCUUGCUAAUUGAUUCAAGCUUAAAACUCCUAAAACAUCUCUUGGUUCCCAUUGGUAUUCGGUUCCCUGUCAUUAUCAACUGCUUUGGGUUCGUCUGUCUUAGAAAUUCACUUUCGAAAUUGGGCUUUGGGUUCGUCGGGUUUCGUCCUUGGUUCGGGAAUCUAGUUUUUGUUCAUCUCGUCCUAUCCAUCGAGAUCAGUUUUGUUUUUGAAUUCCUCAAUAUCGAGUUUGGAGUUUUUGGUUAUCGAGGUUCAAUUCGAGGUAUUUCGGACGCUGUUCUAUCUCCGAUAUAUUGAAAUGGAGACUUGAGGUCCAAUCUUUUGACUCCCUCUUUUCACUUUAUUUCGAUUUGGUGCAUUGAUGUUAUGAUUAUGUGUUGCUGGUUAUGAUUGGAUGAUCUUGUUGAUGUUUGAUAUUGUUUAUCCCUGAAUAAUUAAUCAUGGUAUGAGAUUAAUGUUAGCAUGGGUUUGAAUAAUUACUUUGUAUGAAAAUUGACGUAAAAGAGGAAAUACGGGGCGGAAUUGAGAAAUUGAUAAAAAUGGUGAAUAUAGAUCAACUUUGGUUUAUUAUCUUUUUUGUUUAAAUCGAAAUAAGCGUGAAUAUUAUUGGAACGUGACAAAAUUAUGAUAUGUUGAAACGGAUAGGCAAACGUAAGUUCGGGUAGGCAAAUUUAGAAAUAACGAUUUGUUGAGUGUUUGAAUAUAUGUGUGAAUGAUUCGUUCUAUUUUAUCGUACAAAAAUUGAAAUUGUACUCAUGUGGCCGAGAAAUGCCCUGGGAGAUUUGUAUUGAUUUAUCUGGGGAACGCCCCGAAGUACCAUGUACGCAGAGAAGGCUCGGGAUUAAGGCCUGAGGCAUCGGGUAAGGCAUUGUAGCAUAGUUUUAGGAUUAGUUUAGAAUAAGAUUUACAUUUCUGUAUUUUCGAUUUUGGAUUGUAUAAUUGGACUGGACAUUAUAUUUUAAGUUUGUUUGAUUGAUUGUUUUAUGUGUUUUUGUGUGGUUUAUACAUUUGUAGUGUCAAAUUAGCCGAUAUGUUCCAUCAAGCGACCGUGGUCGAACUACGGGACCAAGGGGUGGCUAACACCUUCCCCUCGGUCAAUAAAAUUCUUUAACCAAAAUCUCUGUUUGCAAACUAGUUUCAAACAGUCAAACGGUUUUGGAAAGGAUUUUUAAAACUGACUUGGCACACCGAGCUUAUGUCAAGUGGCGACUCUGAAUAAAAAUGUAAAUAAUCCUUUUUUCGAAAUAAACUUUCUUCAUUUUGUCACUUAAUAAUAAAAAUCCUUUCAUCCCUUAAAAUGAAUCUUUUUUUUGGUUAAAAAAGGGUGUGACACCUGCAGAAUGGAGAGUAGCAACAGUAAAGAGAAACCCAAUAGUCAACACAAGUUCACAAACAUGCGGUGCAGAUUCUUAAUUAGAUAAUUAUGUAAUAAGCAUACCAUUACUCAUGAAACAAAACCCUUUAUUCGUGGCCAUAUUCAUGAUCAAAACAUAUCAAAUAACAACUAUUGUAACCAGCAACUGAUUAUGGGGCAACUCAUGAGCUCAUCACCAGUGUAUACUCAUCAAACACCUUCAUCGAACUUUGGUCAAGACAUGAAUGAGUUGUUAAAAAAUGGAGAUUAAUGGAUGAGCUUAGAUCUAUUUUAGAGCUUGAUCACUUUUGAUCUCAACCUUUUCAUCUUGUACACUCAAAUAACAUGAUGAUAUGUAGCUUGACUGAGUACUACUACUAGUUUGCCAAAUAUGACCGUUUGCCAAAUAUGACCACUCGUCUAAAUAAUAGUCUAUAUAACUUCUUGAACUAAAUAUAUUCAGUGAAAACAGAUCAAACCAAUGAAAUAGUUGUAUAAAAAUUUUCUUGAAUUUACACUUGGUCAUUCAACUUUAAAUCGAUUUCAUGGAAAACAGAAAAUAGAACAUCUAUAACUUUCAGUGACAAAACAAUGAAAAAUAAGAAACAGAACAUCUAUAACUUUCAUAUUCUCUUCAAAUUGUUGGAAUUAAAGAAUCAAACGAUUUUAUGGAUUAAACGAUUUCAUAUUCUCAUCAAAGAAUCAAAUGAUUUCUAUGGACCAAAUUAAAAAAAUCUCUGAAUUUACACGUGGUCGUUCAACUUUAAAUCAAUUUCAUGGAAAACAGGAAAUAGAACAUCUGUAACUUUUAGUGACAAAACAAUGAAAAACAGGAAAUAGAACAUCUAUAACUUUCAUAUUCUCUUCAAAUUGUUGGAAUUAAAGAAUCAAACGAUUUUAUGGAUCAAACGAUUUCAUAUUCUCAUCAAAGAAUCAAAUGAUUGCUAUAGACCAAAUUAAAAAAACAGAGAUUUUUUGAAGCUGUGAUGGAAAACAGAGAGAUGAGAUUUUAUGGAUGAAAAAAUCAUACCUCAGUUGCUAUAUAUGGAAGCUGUGAUAAUGAUUUAGGGAAAAAUGAUAUGUUGGAGAAAGCUGCAAUUUGAAGCCGAUAAUGAGAAAGCUGAUGAAAAUUUUGAUGAUUGUUAUUAGAGACAUAUUAUUAGGGAAUGAUUUUG
This 9892-nucleotide long non-coding RNA is filed under the name Capsicum annuum. Its description in RNAcentral is "long non-coding RNA (CANN_LNC021792)". The record is from RNAcentral. Lineage: Eukaryota; Viridiplantae; Streptophyta; Magnoliopsida; Solanales; Solanaceae.